Molecule: ribosomal RNA, 194 nt
Filed under: Escherichia coli O145:NM str. 2010C-3516
Lineage: Bacteria; Pseudomonadati; Pseudomonadota; Gammaproteobacteria; Enterobacterales; Enterobacteriaceae
Description: partial 16S ribosomal RNA
Rfam family: Bacterial small subunit ribosomal RNA
Source: RNAcentral
UUAAAUUGAAGAGUUUGAUCAUGGCUCAGAUUGAACGCUGGCGGCAGGCCUAACACAUGCAAGUCGAACGGUAACAGGAAGAAGCUUGCUUCUUUGCUGACGAGUGGCGGACGGGUGAGUAAUGUCUGGGAAACUGCCUGAUGGAGGGUGAUAACUACUGGAAACGGUAGCUAAUACCGCAUAACGUCGCAAGA